UGGAGAACUGAGGGGGGCUGCUCCUAGUACGAGAGGACCGGAGUGGACGCAUCACUGGUGUUCGGGUUGUCAUGCCAAUGGCACUGCCCGGUAGCUAAAUGCGGAAGAGAUAAGUGCUGAAAGCAUCUAAGCACGAAACUUGCCCCGAGAUGAGUUCUCCCUGACUCCUUGAGAGUCCUGAAGGAACGUUGAAGACGACGACGUUGAUAGGCCGGGUGUGUAAGCGCAGCGAUGCGUUGAGCUAACCGGUACUAAUGAACCGUGAGGCUUAACCUUACAACGCCGAAG
Molecule: ribosomal RNA, 288 nt
Filed under: Escherichia coli
Lineage: Bacteria; Pseudomonadati; Pseudomonadota; Gammaproteobacteria; Enterobacterales; Enterobacteriaceae
Also listed under: 1 other name
Description: partial 23S ribosomal RNA
Rfam family: Bacterial large subunit ribosomal RNA
Source: RNAcentral